Non-coding RNA from Pelobates cultripes (western spadefoot toad), 217 nucleotides. The record is from the annotation of a GenBank genome assembly. NCBI's taxonomy places the organism in Eukaryota, Metazoa, Chordata, Amphibia, Anura, Pelobatidae.
AUAUAAAAAUACAUAACUUUACAAUUGUCGAAUGUUACCCAUUCGUAUCACAUAUCCCCAGAUAGCCUGGAUCUGAGUGCAUAUUAUUGGCGAAUAGCGCUCAGAUCCCAUACGCAUAGUUCAAUCGCCAUGGAGUCAAAGUCUAUUACAGUCUUUCGGCAUGCGAUUGACUCCAUGGGAAGGCUAUCUGGGGUAAGUCCAUUCGUGCUUUUAAACC